AGGCAACUCCGACAUUGUCGUACAGGUUGCAAUAGGCAACUCCGACACUAUCGUACAUGUUGCCUAUGAGUUGUACAGGUUGCAUUAGGCAACUCCAACUCAUGUGUUGUCAUAGAUUGAUUUAUGAGUCAUAUAGGUUGCAUUAGGCAACUCCAACUCAUGUGUUAUCAUAGAUUGAUUUAUGAGUUGUACAGGUUGCAUUAGGCAACUCCGACUUGUGGGUUAUCAUAGAUUGAUGAGCACCUGAUUUUAUUAUGUUGUUGCCGAUAUGUAGUGAUUUGGAAUAUUUCUGGAGUUACUGUUGAUUUACAUUUGAUUUCAUACUGAUACGUAGUAUGAUUUCUUGGAAACUAUACAGGUAUUACAACGAAGGGUUAUAUCGUAUAGAAGGUCUUUAUUAAAGCUUUAUUGUCAGGCCCACUCACUCUUGUUUUUUAUCCCUCCAGGUUCUAGUAGCAGAGUUUUCGUAUUGACGAGGAUUUGUGGCAAGUCUUGGUAUUGAAGAUUGCCUUCGAUGGUAUGAUUUUCAAUCCACUCUACUAUACUUUACUUAUGCUUUGACGUCACGUGUGAAAUGGGUUCAUUCUCGCUCACAUCGCACUCUCGUAUUUAGGCACUUUUAGGUUUAAAUUUAUUCACAUAUUCACAUCGCUACACUUUAUGGCUUCGUCACCUUCCAGGUGUCGGCCGGUACAACCCGAUUCGGAGUCCUAGUGGACAAUCGGGUCGAGAUGUGUCAGUUUGGUAUCAGAGCAUAAGAUGGGCAAUAUUACGUUUUUCACAUGCAUGAUGUAAGCAUUUUUUAUUCUUGAACCUAAUUUAUGAAUCUUGCCACCUCGUUGAAUACGAAAAAUGUGUUAGUUUUUCCUCAGUUUGGGCAGUUUUGUCGACUGUCAAUGGUUUAGAAGAUCAUGUUGGCGAACGCCUCUAAAUUAUAAGGGAAGAAUUUCCCUGCCAAGGAAAGAUGUAGAUUUGGGAUAAGUUGAUGACCUUGAAGUAGGGUUGGGGGAUAAUUUCCUAUCAAUUCCACUAUUAUCUAGUCAUUUCUUCCAAUCUUUUCAAGUUAGGAAACCAUUGAUAGUCUUGAUUCCUUGGCAGUACCCGUUAAUGUUUCACUUACUAGAAUCCUUACGAAGGUUUAGUUUUCUUCGAAAUUUCCAGAAAUGUCUCGUGUGACAAUGUGGUGCUACAUGGGUAAC
RNAcentral lists this long non-coding RNA (1199 nucleotides) under Malus domestica (apple). RNAcentral describes it as "long non-coding RNA (MDOM_LNC016420)". The record is from RNAcentral. Lineage: Eukaryota; Viridiplantae; Streptophyta; Magnoliopsida; Rosales; Rosaceae.